UUGGGGAAAGUUUAUUACUAACUGAAUGUAUUAAUGGUGUAUCAUUACAGUAUUUAUUAUUAUUAUUAUUUAUGACGAUGACUUAUUUUAUGUUAUUAUUUAUUCCCUGUAUAGGUCCAUGCCCCAGGAGUUCAUAGUUUACAAUAUAGUGUAAACAAGAACAGUAUAUGGAGAUGACAACACAGAGGGGGCAUGCAAAGGGAGGAGAAAGGUGCUAAUAAUAUGAGCAUGCAGUUCACACCAUAGUGUACUUGAUGUGCCACUGCAGCCAGCCUGGGCCUCAUCUGCUGAGGUCCUGCAACUGGAAUAUCAACAAAGGUUGUUUUGGAGGAAGAGGGAGUGUGAGCCUGAGGCUUUAUAGUCCAGUUGCACUGGCCUGAGAUGUGGGAGACCCAGGUUUAAAUCUCUGCCCUGCUUCAUUCAGUCAUCUGGAAUGAAAAAAAAAACUGCUCUUAACCUGGGUCUUCCAACACCCAGACUGGUGUCCUAACACAAAGCUAGAAAAAGAGACACAUCACUACCUCUCUUCACGAAUCGAAAAACUCAAGUUUCAAACCAAAACCAAACAUUAUGACACAAUUCUGCUUUUCAUGAAAAUAUUCAAAAGGUCUUGGCUUCAUUUCAAUGUGGAAUGAAAAGAAAGGUCCAGAGCUGCCGCAAAAUGGAAUUGUCAUCUUCUAGACAGUUCUAACGUUAACCCUUGUCAGACACAUUAGGUACUGGCCGCUGCUAAAGACACCGGGCUAUCAGACCAUUAGUCUGAUCUGUUAUGAUAAAUCUUACAUGUUCUUUUUACUCUUUGAAUUUAUAUAUUCCCUCCCGCACCUCACCUCAAAACUUUGUUAACGCUGAGUUAAGGUUUCUAGACUGCAUAUCUCACCAACGCAAACAUCACUGCAAACGUGUACAGCACGUCUUGGUCUCAGGAGAGAUACUUCUGCUGCCAGUCUCAUACAAGACGCCCUUAAAGGAGGGAAACUUGGGGUGGCAGAACUCUCCCAUAGAUGGAGAAACAACUGCUGCCAUUCAGCCCACGCUCUCUACAAUAUCGUAUAUCAGUAAUGCCCCCAGGGAAAUCUGUGAGCCACUGAUGGUCUGCUGAGACCAGGUGAUCAUCACAUAGUUCUAAUUCUCUUCCAUGUUACCACCUCCUAAAUUACAUUAUAAAAUAUAUGCCAGAAUAGGAUCCUUUUUAUUUUCCUCCUAAUGUCAUAAUGUUUAGGGUUUUCAUCAAGCUUUGUUCUGCACCCAGAAGGGCUAGAAUUUUUUUUUUAAAUAAAGCUGAGAUGUUCAAGUAAUAACCUUGUUCCAGGAAUUGAGGCUUUAAGAAAAACACCAAAUAUCAUGAGACUUGGGAUGAAAUUAGAAGAGUUGGCAACACUGUUGGCUUUCAAAAAUGUUUUCCAUCCUGAACUGGGAAGAAAACGUUCAAUCUUCAAAUUUUCACUAACUGAAAAUCUGAGAAAAAAUUUGGGGCAGGUCAACUGAAACAUAUUGUUUCAAUUUUACCUUUUUUAAAUUUUUUUUAAAACACAUUUUUAAAAAUAUAAAUUAACUUAAAUUUUAAACCAAAAAGUCUCUUUGAUCCAAACCCCAGAAUCUUUUAGCUUAGAAUAUGUUGAAACAUUCAACAAUUUUGAACCUUUUAAAAAAACAACAUUUUUUUCAAAUAGGAAAUUUGUCACAACUGCCCCUUUCCUGCAGCUUUGAUUUGGAUGAAUUGGUAUUCUCCAGUAAAAAAAAACAUUACAUGGAAUAAUUCUUGACUAGCCCUAAUAUAUAAAGGGAUAUGCUGUACACAUGGAGAUGCUACAUGAUUGCAAGUGGGAGGGAGGUAUCCAUAAGACAUUCUGUCUGCUAAGAUAUGGUCCACACUAUGAAAAACUGUGAGAAUACCGUGGGUUGUUUUUUUGGUUUUGUUUGGUUUUUUUGGGGUUACUGUUGCAGGAGAAACAAAGAAGCAUGAACAAGAGCAACUACUCAAUGACAUAUCAUCAUUAAUUAUUCUCACUAUUAAAAAUGUAUGCCUUGUUUCUAGUCUGAAUUCGUCUAGCUUCAGCUUCCAGCUUCUUGAGUCUAUCAUAUAAAGUAUCUUUUCUAAUCAUGUAAUCGUUCUUGGGGCUUUUCACUGAACCCUCUCCAAUUUAUUAACAUCCUUCUUGAAUUGUAGAAACCAGAACUGGACAUGAUAUGCCAGCAGCCAUCGCACAAGUGUCAAAUACAGAGGUAAAAUAACCUCUUUACUUCUACUCAAGAUUCCCCUCUUUAUCCAAAGAUUGCAUAAGACUUUUGGCCACAGCAUCACACUGGGAGGUCAUGUUCAGCUGAUUAUCCACCACAAUCCCCAAAUCUUUUUCAGAGUCACUGCUUCCCAGGAUAGAGUCCCGCAACAUGUAAGUAUAGCCUACCUUCUUUGUUCCUAUAUGUGUACAUUUACAUUUAGCUGUAUUAAAACACAUAGUGUUUGCUUGUGCCCAAUGUACCAAGCGAUCCAGAUCAAUGACCAUUCCGCUUCAUUAUUUGUUUUCUUCCAGGUUAUUAAUAAAUAUGUUAAAGAGCAUAGGGCCAAGACCAAUUCCUGUGAGACCCCACUAGAAACAUACCUGUUUGCUGAUGAGUCCCAUUUACAGGUACAUUUUGAUAACUAUCUGUUAGUCAGGUUAAAAUCCAUUUAUU
Molecule: long non-coding RNA, 2676 nt
Organism: Mauremys mutica (yellowpond turtle)
Lineage: Eukaryota; Metazoa; Chordata; Testudines; Geoemydidae
Exons: 3
Source: RefSeq, a predicted model, not a curated record